This 4955-nucleotide long non-coding RNA is filed under the name Brassica napus (rape). Its description in RNAcentral is "long non-coding RNA (BNAP_LNC012888)". Lineage: Eukaryota; Viridiplantae; Streptophyta; Magnoliopsida; Brassicales; Brassicaceae. The record is from RNAcentral.
UGUCGCAGUUAGUGCUCAUGGAGAUGGGAUAGGGAAUGCUAACACCGCACUUUCCAGGAAGGCUAGAGGCUAGACUUGGAUUGACGUUCUUUGCAGCGGUCUUUAGGCAUUUACAUGCUUGUUGGCGGUCCGGUGUGGUUUUAGCCAUACUGUUCAAUUUUGAAACUCCGGCGCAGCAUGGAGCUGGCACCGGCCCGCCUUUCAUUAGAUAGCUGGCACAUGGAGCCAAGUUACUUGUCACUGUGCCACAUGAGAUUGCUGCAUCUACUGAUGCAACUAUGCACACAGUCAAAACAAGGCAUGUGAAAAAACUCAGAGCCGAAGCCAUUGUCUUUUGCUUUUCUCUUUUUCUUUGUGAUGAUAAGAAAAUAAGGAGACUUAGUUGCUUUUGUGAUUAUAAGCUUGUGUUAUGAUGUUGGAUGUGAGAAAAUGAUGAUGGGUUUAUAUAGGGAAUUUAGAUGGGAAAAUAGGAUGACUAACUACUAACUUAGAAUAUGUUAGACUGUUAUUAGUUGGAUUUGCAUUUAAUGCAUUUCAUUCCUUCUAGUUUUGUCUACUAACGAGAAGAAUUUGUUUCACUGUCACAAUUUUUAUGUACAUAUACGUUAGUCUGUCAGAGACUACGCAAAUAUCUAAUAUUAUACUUUUGUGAAUUUAUUAGUUUACUACACUUUUGGUUGUUUUAGAUAUUAGGUUUGAGCGAUAUUCAAGAAUUGAAAGCCAGUUGCAAAAAAGAAGACAUUACACGACUUGGUAAUCGUACUUGGUAAUCGUAUGUUUUUAUUUUCCCUCUGUAUAGCGGUAAUGAUAUCGCUUAAAGAAUAUUUAUUUUGGUUCGCCCAUUACAUUAGUCAAAAAAAAUAUUUAUUUUGGUUUCGCGCAUAAUCAAUAGUUUAUCAACUAUUAGAGGUACAGUGCCAAUUAAAUUUUAAUACCGUCCAAUUAAAUGGAGUGUGUAGCAGAAGGACACGCGUAUCCAACAGCAAACAUCAGAACUCUCCCAACUAGCCCCAUCACAUUCUUCAAUUUCGUUGGACCACCUUUUUGUUUUCCCAUUAAUUAUCUAAGGAAAAACCUAACUAUGGUCAUUAGAUACAGUACUAUACCGACAAAAAAGUUUUGCCCAACUAUGAAACUUCAAAUAAUAAAACUUACUGCAUCACGCACAAAAAAUAGAGAAAAUCGCUUAAAAAAAUCUUCAAAGUGACACCCACUUACAUUUUAAAUCUUUAGAAUAAUUCAUAAAUACUUUAAAUCUUGAAAGUAACACUUUUAUCGAAAGAAAUUUUCAAUCUAGUUUACUUGUACAUCAAAUCAAAAUGUUAGCCGGUAUUGUUCAAAAUCGAUAAUGCGUCGAUUUUUUUUUUAAUAUUUUAUAAGUAAAAUAAAUUAAAAAAUAAAAAAUUAUAAAAAAUCAUAAAAAAUCAAAACAAAUCAUAAAAGUCACUAAAAAUUUACAAAUCAAAAUAUUCACCAAAAAAAUUUAAAUUAUUUUAUUAAUAAAAUAAAUAUAAAAAUACAUAAAAUAUAAAAUUCAUAAAAAAUACAAAAAAAAUUCACAACAAAUCAUAAAAUCAAUAAAAUUCACAAAAAAUCUAAAUAUUCCCAAAAAAAUACUUUAAAUUAAUAAAAUAAGUAUAAAAUACAGAAAAUAUAAAAAAAAAUCAUAAAAAUUCACAAAAAUCAAGAAUAAAGUUUUAUAAAAGCGACUAAGGAAUAAUGUGCAUUGAGUGUUAUAAACUGGCUACCCUGAAGCUAUCAUUAGUAUCCAUUCUUCCCUUUAACAAUCAUGAAGUUUCCCAAAUCCAACCAACACACACAUAACAUAACAGAUUAAAAAAUAUCCAAAUUGCAGUCGGUCUCUCGUUAUGAUUACUCUAAUUCAGAUUAGAAAAUUCAUUAUCUUCAAAUAAUUCUCGUGAAUGAUUUGUUUUGAAUUUUUUGAAAUUUUUAUAUUUUAUGUAUUUUUAUAUUUAUUUUAUUAAUAAAAUAUUUUAAAAUACAUUUUGUGAAAUUUUUGAUUUUUAUGAAUUUUAUUGAUUUUUUUUAUUUUUAGUGAUUUUAUGAUUUGUUUUGAUUUUUUAUGAAUUUUAUAUUUUAUUUUUUAUAUUUAUUUUACUGAUAAAAUAAAUUUAAAAAAAUUCAAAAAAAAUAGACCCGACACAUCAUCGAUUUUGAACAGAAUCGCUUACCGUUUUGACUUGAUGUAUAAGUAAGCCAAAUUGAAGGUUUUUUUUUAUAAAAGUGUCACUUUAGAGGUUUAAAGUGCUUGUGAAAUGUUCUUAGGGUUUAAAGUGUAAGUGGUUGCCAGCUUAAGGGUUUUUAACGCGAUUUUCCCCAAAAAAUUAUAUAACCUUGAAGAGUUUUAUGCAUCAAUAUGUUACUAGUGUGGCUGUGUUAUAUUUUCUCUAAUGCCACUUCAAGGAUUAAUGUCCUUGCAACCCUCCUUUUUGCUAAAUAAAAUUUUUGAGCAUGGAGAAAAUUUAGUAAAUGUUUAAAGAAAAUAUUGGAAAGAUUAAGGGUGACCCUGAAUGUUAAGACGACAAAAAACAAAAUCCAGAAAAUCAUAAAAGUUAGGACCCACGAUCAUAUAAAUAAAACGGAAUGAAGAAGAUAGAAAAGUGAUUUUGGGAAACUUUUGGUGUAGGAAAUGAUAGAAAAAUGUGUUAGAGAAUAGUCAAAUUUACAGAAUGUGUGUGAAACAUAUGUUAUGUGAUAAAUUAUAUCAGUUCCAGUGAAAAUAAAUACCACAGAAGAGUAGCUCUUAGUGAAGAGCUGAAUGAUACUUUUGUUAUCUAAAAUAAAAUCAUGAGAGGUUACAUAUUUUACCGCUUAAGGGCAUGUGCAAUCCAACUCUAGUUUUUAUCCUAAAAUAAAGUAAAAAUAGAAUAUAGCGUAAAAGAUGCUCCAAACUCAACUUCAUACUUCAUUCCAUAAUGAAAUUUACUUCAUAAAUAGAGUAAUCUAUUUUUUGUCUGUUUAUUACUCCAUUAUGAAGUAAGAAAUAGAAUAAAAUUGAAGCAUUUUUACUCCAUAUUCUUUUUACUCCAUUUUGAAAGAAAAAAUGUAGUUUUAUAUCGGAAAUGCUCCAAUAACUGGAAAAUAUGUUUUAACCCUUUAUGCAGAGGUAAUUAUGUUCUAGAAACCAGCUUGCCGCUAUCCAACUAGUGAAAAAAAUCAAAUACAAGGCACCUGAGAUGUAACAAAAGUGCUAAAACUCAGUGAGGAGCAGAUGAGUCUUUAUAGCACAGGCUGCACAGCCAGAGUUUCUACCAUAACAGACCAUCUUAACAGAGGAAAAACAUCUGAAGUAACAAGUUGAGAUCAAAGAGAUACUAGUAAUUAAAUAAAUAAGAUUCGAAAAAGUUUUCCGAAAGUUUCUGAAUGUCUUCUUCUUAGGACUUACAUACUUGAGAGUACAAUCUAGUUUUCUAGUAGACAGAAAUACUAAGAACAUAAUAAUUAACUACAAAUGAAUGUAAUUUUUCACACUUAAGUGGCUGAUCUCGAGUUAUUGAGUUAUCAACGUUCAUAUCAAAUGGUUGAGUAAUUGACAUCUUAACAAAUAGACUGCAUUUUUGUUGUUCAUGGUCAAUGUGGCAUGUGAUUUUAUCUGGAGUUGCAGGAUCCUACGUCUAGACCAAUAGCAAUCCGCUAGAAUCAGAUAGUUACAAAAGAGAGAUUCGAGCAAGCAAUCGGUACCAGAUGAAGCACAAGAUGGAUCGACUUAUAUGUAAACCGUGACUUCAGAAUCUUGUUUAUUUUGUUUCUAUGUUGGACACACAUCAUUGCGGAGAUAUCGUUGCAAUAAGAAGACUCAAAAGCUGUUUCAGAUUAAGAUAAGGAAGUAGCAUCCUAGUUGUACGAAAAAUGUGUAGUUGAAACUUGAAAUCGUCGUGUAUGAAAAUUUCUUUUGAUACAUAAUUCAAUCUCGAUUGUUAGUAAUAUUGGACUACUUAGUAUAACAAAAACUAUAUUUAACCCUUGUCAUCUAAAAGUUUAUAAUUGGAUGGGAGAAACCAUAUAUAGUAUUUCUUCUUGGUAUUUCUAAUUUGGUUUUAAAUUUGGUACCAAUCUAAAUUUUUUAAAGAUACCAAAAUCUAAGCUCUUAAUAAAUAUAUUUAUAUGGCUCUAUAAUCGGUGGUUAUAGUACUCUCCCAUUCACUAUAUAUAUAUGAUUAAUAUCGGAGAAAAUAUAUAAAGAGACGAUGAUUAAUAGGAUAAUAUUAUCAUAUCUUAAACAUCAUUAAGACACAAUAUAAAGCAAAAGAUUACAAAGUAAUAUGACAAACUUUCGACUGCAAAAUAAAAACAAGACAAACUAGGACAUGCUGAGGUCAGUGUAGAUAGACACUCUUUUAUUUAUGCUAGACCAUACUGUUCAUCCUCACGAUGAUAUAUGAGUUCCCAUUUCACUUGACGCUGCAACAAUACAAACGACCAAGACAGUAAAUUUAGAUCAUUAAAAGAAGUAAAUCAUGGUCUUUUAUCUAGAUCGCGUAAUUAACCACAAAAAGGUAUGUGAAAUUUCACUUAACCAAAAAAAGAAGCUUACGUGUCGCAGUUAGUGCUCAUGGAGAUGGGAUAGGGAAUGCUAACACCGCACUUUCCAGGAAGGCUAGAGGCUAGACUUGGAUUGACGUUCUUUGCAGCGGUCUUUAGGCAUUUACAUGCUUGUUGGCGGUCCGGUGUGGUUUUAGCCAUACUGUUCAAUUUUGAAACUCCGGCGCAGCAUGGAGCUGGCACCGGCCCGCCUUUCAUUAGAUAGACGGCACAUGGAGCCAAGUUACUAGUCACUGUGCCACAUGAGAUUGCUGCAUCUACUGAUGCAACUAUGCACACAGUCAAAACAAGGCAUGUGAAAAAACUCAGAGCCGAAGCCAUUGUCUUUUGCUUUUCUCUUUUGUCUUGUGAUAAGAAAAUAAGGAGACUUAGUUGGUUUUAUGAUUCUAAGC